Long non-coding RNA from Aegilops tauschii subsp. strangulata, 2181 nucleotides. RefSeq lists it as uncharacterized. Lineage: Eukaryota; Viridiplantae; Streptophyta; Magnoliopsida; Poales; Poaceae. The record is from RefSeq and is a predicted model, not a curated record.
CGAAAAAACUGAACGGGCAAAUAAUUCCUAAUCCCACGUCUCUCACAAACACAACAACAACGGCGGUGGCGGCGGCGAUUUGGAUCUGGGCGGCGGCGACUGAGCAAAACCACCCGUGAGGUCAAGGUACAUCUACCUCCAUUCACCCCUCCCCCUCUCUGCCUGCCUUCCUCACUCUCUUCCCCAGCGGGGUCGCCGUGAGUCCGUGACCGUGGACCGGCGGGGAAUUGGGGAACUCUGGUGAUGGGGAACAGGAAGCACCGGUGCUGUGCUGGAAAACGCAUGUGCCGGGGACAGGGAGACCUCCGGUGGUGGGGAAUGGAGUGAGCUAUGGCAAGCGUGCGCCAUCUGGAUGGGCGAUCUAGAUGGGUACUAGAAGCGCCGUCACACUAACACCAAGACGAUGGUGUCGUCACGCUGAGUCACCGACGACAUACUCCGUGUGGACGCCUCAUCCUGGUCUGGCUCCGCCAUGGACGCCGCAUCCUGAUCUGAGGCCGCUGAGGCAGUAGACCAAUGUCAUCGCCCCGUCUUGCAACCGCCACCGCAUCCUGGGCUUACUCCAUGCGGAUUCCACAUCAUGGACUAACGCCGCUGCGUCGCCUGUCCUGGUGAGGUAAUAUAAUCUUAUGUGAAAUACUACAGGAAUCGCAACCACAUGUACAUGCAUGUUAACAUCUCGAUUCAACCCAUGAUAUUGUCAUCAUUUUUUUCUUUUCGAAUGCAACUUUUAGCCCUGCAUAAAUGGCUAUUAGGAGAGCACGAUGCCAGCAGCACAAUAUAACUGAGUGUGUAAAGUUGUUUCUUCAAAACAUAGCUGCAAUGUGAUUGGAAAGAACCAGGUUUAUACAGUGAGGGGCGGGGGAUCCUGAAUGGAUGCAUAUAUUUCCUCAAAAAGGUAACUAGGCUCCCAAGUGCAGAAUGACGCAUAUGGUUAUUGUCUGUGUUAGUCUCUCUGCUGAAUCACCUUCAUAGCAGCAAGUACACCAGAAUUUUUUAUCUCUUUGCAUCAGAAUUGUUUCUUUGGUGCAGGGUUUCUACUGUUAUUGUAAAAUCUUAAAGAAACAUCCAUUCAUGGUCCAGAGAGUAAUAAGUUCCCUUGUUCAAAUAUAGAAGUGAUGUAUUUGCAAGCUUUCAUGCAAAACGGUUAUUUAAUCUCGAACAGCUGCAACUAUCCUGAUCUCACAAUGAUUAUGGAAAUUCAGUUGUUGUAGCAGAGUAUUCAUCUAAUACUCAUCUGUAUAUAUCUUCUUAAAUCUAAUAAGUGAAUGGAUGAUCAUGAAGUGAUCUUGAACUAUCAAGAUAUGAAAUCAUUUCUUGGUCUACUCCGACACGUGAUUAUGUGGAGCUUGUGAAGGAAACAGAAAAACCAGGAAGCUUGGCGAUCGUCUAUUGGCGACAACAUGGUAUACAUCUAAUUUUACAAGGAGCUUGUGAUUAUUUAUGGUCAUAUAGUGCUAAUAUUUUACUAGUUUCAUCUUGCAUGUUUGUGCCAUCAUUACUUUAUUAUUUUUCGCAUGAAAUGGCUAAUAUGACUUAAGUUAGAUCCAGCUAAAACACAUCCAAUUUUGAAGCUGAGUAAAAUAGAGAUGAAGAAGGUGUCACUUACCUAUCAUUCAUCAAGUGGUGCUCAGAUGGUAACUUGCAUACACAUCGUGGGAAGCUAACACUGACAAGAAGUCAGAAGCCUCAAGUUCCUGAAGUUCAUGGCAAAAAAAAAGAACCUACUAGACUUAAUGAGCGCAGACAAUGGAAUUCUUGAGAUUUUUUGUGCCAUUCAAAAAGAUGUGGCUUUAGGACAAUAUGCAGUAGCCUUGGAGCUUGUACAUUGGCAUGAGACCUCAUUAGUUACAGGGGAUUCAAUGACGCACAGCCUUGCAGCUUUGUACAUUGGCAUGAGACCUCAUAAGUUACAUGGAAUCAGUGACCCACAUUCAAGAUCAGAGUUUUUUUUAGGGAAUGAUCAGAGAGUGAGGAUGAGGAAACAUGCUUUUGUUAGAGUUGUUCAGGAUGAUGGGGGAUUCUUCUUAAAACUAUCUGCUCCUACUAAUAGACAUUGCUCCUGUCAAGUUUGCAAAAAAAUAAUAUUUUUGUUUGCAAUGGAAUAUGAGUGUAUUUUCUUUAGGAUGCAAUACAAAAAUACUUGUUUUCCGUGAUGUAAUACAUGGAUAUACUUGAUUC